GUAACCUGAGGUAAUUUCCAGAGUGUUUGAAUUGAAACUUUAAUGAAGAAUAUACACUUAUUUGUCCCCUAAGCUGCAAGAGAGCACAGCCAUGAGGAAUGAUCAGCAGAUCAGAACUCAUUGCUCACUGCAAAAUCCUUCAGGAAUAAAACAAAACCAAAAUCCAAUACUUAUGGCAGACAAAUUUUAGACACUGGAUUUAGGGAUAUUUGCUUUAAUCACCUUGACAAAAAGGCUUCCCUUCCUGCAUCCAUCAGAGAGCUGAAGGAGUUAGCAGAACGUGUGGGACCUACCCAGUGCUGGACCUGCAGUGAAAACCAUGUGAUGCUGGAGCAGCCACCUGUGUCAAGUCCCAGUCAUGGACUCCAUAUGACUGAUGGUUCUGAAGGCUUUAAGAAAUCCAUCAGUGUUGCUGUGGAUUUGUCAACUCUUAUGAUAUGAAUAUUUGACAAACAGGAGGCUCUUCAUAGUGUUUAUCUUUGCUAUACUGACCUUAAUACAGGAAUAAAAGUCCUGGGAUUCUGAAGC
This is a long non-coding RNA of Oxyura jamaicensis (ruddy duck), 528 nucleotides long. RefSeq lists it as uncharacterized. The record is from RefSeq and is a predicted model, not a curated record. Lineage: Eukaryota; Metazoa; Chordata; Aves; Anseriformes; Anatidae. The transcript is spliced from 4 exons.